AAAGUCGUAACAAGGUUUCCGUAGGUGAACCUUCGGAAGGAUCAUUAUCGAAAUGCAGGCUGGUCCGGCGCCGGCGGGCAUAAGACUGCGGUCUUUGCCCCCGGUUUCGGGCUGGCGUUCCACGCAUUCUACCACCCUUGACUUUGAGCACCGUUUUGUUUCCUCGGCAGGGACGCCUGCCAGCGGGGACCCAUCGAACACUUGCAGUAGCAGUAUUUGUCUGAGAAAAACACAAAAAUUAAAACUUUCAACAAUGGAUCUCUUGGUUCUG
RNAcentral lists this unclassified non-coding RNA (271 nucleotides) under Ascomycota sp. RNAcentral's name for it is "partial contains small subunit ribosomal RNA, internal transcribed spacer 1, and 5.8S ribosomal RNA". The stretch from base 1 to 47 matches the Rfam family "Eukaryotic small subunit ribosomal RNA", at positions 1785 to 1831 of the family's 1831-position model. The record is from RNAcentral. Lineage: Eukaryota; Fungi; Ascomycota.